Molecule: ribosomal RNA, 464 nt
Filed under: uncultured bacterium
Lineage: Bacteria
Description: partial 16S ribosomal RNA
Rfam family: Bacterial small subunit ribosomal RNA
Source: RNAcentral
CUACGGGCCGCUGCAGUGGGGAAUAUUGCACAAUGGGCGCAAGCCUGAUGCAGCCAUGCCGCGUGUAUGAAGAAGGCCUUCGGGUUGUAAAGUACUUUCAGCGGGGAGGAAGGGAGUAAAGUUAAUACCUUUGCUCAUUGACGUUACCCGCAGAAGAAGCACCGGCUAACUCCGUGCCAGCAGCCGCGGUAAUACGGAGGGUGCAAGCGUUAAUCGGAAUUACUGGGCGUAAAGCGCACGCAGGCGGUUUGUUAAGUCAGAUGUGAAAUCCCCGGGCUCAACCUGGGAACUGCAUCUGAUACUGGCAAGCUUGAGUCUCGUAGAGGGGGGUAGAAUUCCAGGUGUAGCGGUGAAAUGUGUAGAGAUCUGGAGGAAUACCGGUGGCGAAGGCGGCCCCCUGGACGAAGACUGACGCUCAGGUGCGAAAGCGUGGGGAGCAAACAGGAUUAGAUACCCGUGUAGUC